CUUGAGUGAUCAGAAGUGAGAAUGUUGACAUGAGUAGCGACAAACAGGGUGAGAGACCCUGUCGCCGAAAGUCCAAGGGUUCCUGCUUAAAGCUAAUCUGAGCAGGGUAAGCCGGCCCCUAAGGCGAGGCCGAAAGGCGUAGUCGAUGGGAACCAGGUUAAUAUUCCUGGGCCAGGAGAUGGCGACGGAUCGCAGAGGUAGUUCUUCCUUAUCGGAUUGGAAGGGCUGCUGAGUGGUUCCUGGAAAUAGCCCUCCAUGAGACCGUACCCUAAACCGACACAGGUGGGCUGGUAGAGAAUACCAAGGCGCUUGAGAGAACCACAUUUAAGGAACUCGGCAAAAUACCUCCGUAAGUUCGCGAGAAGGAGGCCCCGUUUGUACGCAAGUAUGGGCGGGGGGCACAAACCAGGGGGUGGCGACUGUUUACUAAAAACACAGGGCUCUGCGAAGCCGUAAGGCGACGUAUAGGGUCUGACGCCUGCCCGGUGCCGGAAGGUUAAAAGGAGAUGUGCAAGCAUUGAAUUGAAGCCCCGGUAAACGGCGGCCGUAACAAUAACGGUCCUAAGGUAGCGAAAUUCCUUGUCGGGUAAGUUCCGACCUGCACGAAUGGCGUAACGACUUCCCCGCUGUCUCAAAUGUGGACUCAGCGAAAUUGAAUUGUCUGUGAAGAUGCAGACUUCCCGCGGUUAGACGGAAAGACCCCAUGCACCUUUACUAUAGCUUCGCACUGGCAUCAGGAUUGUGAUGUGCAGGAUAGGUGGUAGGCAUUGAAGCAGUGACGCUAGUCGCUGUGGAGCCAUCCUUGAGAUACCACCCUUCGCACUCUUGAUGUCUAACCGCGGCCCGUUAUCCGGGUCCGGGACCCUGCGUGGUGGGUAGUUUGACUGGGGCGGUCGCCUCCCAAAAAGUAACGGAGGCGCGCGAAGGUUGGCUCAGAGCGGUCGGAAAUCGCUCGUUGAGUGCAAUGGCAGAAGCCAGCCUGACUGCAAGACUGACAAGUCGAGCAGAGACGAAAGUCGGCCAUAGUGAUCCGGUGGUCCCGAGUGGAAGGGCCAUCGCUCAACGGAUAAAAGGUACGCUGGGGAUAACAGGCUGAUGAUGCCCAAGAGUCCAUAUCGACGGCAUCGUUUGGCACCUCGAUGUCGGCUCAUCUCAUCCUGGGGCUGGAGCAGGUCCCAAGGGUAUGGCUGUUCGCCAUUUAAAGAGGUACGUGAGCUGGGUUUAGAACGUCGUGAGACAGUUCGGUCCCUAUCUGCCGUGGGUGUAGGAUACUUGAGAGGAGUUGCCCCUAGUACGAGAGGACCGGGGUGAACGUUCCACUGGUGGACCAGUUGUCGUGCCAACGGCAGUGCUGGGUAGCUAUGAACGGACAGGAUAAACGCUGAAGGCAUCUAAGCGUGAAGCCCCCCUCAAAACAAGGUAUCCCUUGAGAGCCGUGGAAGACCACCACGUCGAUAGGCCGGAGAUGUAAGCGCAGCAAUGCGUUCAGUUGACCGGUACUAAUGGCUC
This 1509-nucleotide ribosomal RNA is filed under the name metagenome. RNAcentral describes it as "bacterial LSU rRNA". It matches the Rfam family "Bacterial large subunit ribosomal RNA", at positions 1273 to 2910 of the family's 2925-position model. The record is from RNAcentral.